Nematostella vectensis (starlet sea anemone) is the source of this 72-nucleotide non-coding RNA. The record is from Rfam. NCBI's taxonomy places the organism in Eukaryota, Metazoa, Cnidaria, Anthozoa, Actiniaria, Edwardsiidae.
GGGGAUGUAGCUCAGUAGUAGAGCGUCCGCUUUGCAUGCGGAAGGUCCGGGGUUCGAUCCCACGCAUCUCCA